Molecule: ribosomal RNA, 2904 nt
Filed under: Salmonella enterica
Lineage: Bacteria; Pseudomonadati; Pseudomonadota; Gammaproteobacteria; Enterobacterales; Enterobacteriaceae
Description: bacterial LSU rRNA
Rfam family: Bacterial large subunit ribosomal RNA
Source: RNAcentral
UUAAGCGACCAAGCGUACACGGUGGAUGCCCUGGCAGUCAGAGGCGAUGAAGGACGUGCUAAUCUGCGAUAAGCGCCGGUAAGGUGAUAUGAACCGUUAUAACCGGCGAUUUCCGAAUGGGGAAACCCAGUGUGACUCGUCACACUAUCAUUAACUGAAUCCAUAGGUUAAUGAGGCGAACCGGGGGAACUGAAACAUCUAAGUACCCCGAGGAAAAGAAAUCAACCGAGAUUCCCCCAGUAGCGGCGAGCGAACGGGGAGGAGCCCAGAGCCUGAAUCAGCAUGUGUGUUAGUGGAAGCGUCUGGAAAGGCGCGCGAUACAGGGUGACAGCCCCGUACACAAAAGCGCAUAUGCUGUGAGCUCGAUGAGUAGGGCGGGACACGUGGUAUCCUGUCUGAAUAUGGGGGGACCAUCCUCCAAGGCUAAAUACUCCUGACUGACCGAUAGUGAACCAGUACCGUGAGGGAAAGGCGAAAAGAACCCCGGCGAGGGGAGUGAAACAGAACCUGAAACCGUGUACGUACAAGCAGUGGGAGCACAGGUUUACCUGUGUGACUGCGUACCUUUUGUAUAAUGGGUCAGCGACUUAUAUUCUGUAGCAAGGUUAACCGUAUAGGGGAGCCGAAGGGAAACCGAGUCUUAACCGGGCGUUAAGUUGCAGGGUAUAGACCCGAAACCCGGUGAUCUAGCCAUGGGCAGGUUGAAGGUUGGGUAACACUAACUGGAGGACCGAACCGACUAAUGUUGAAAAAUUAGCGGAUGACCUGUGGCUGGGGGUGAAAGGCCAAUCAAACCGGGAGAUAGCUGGUUCUCCCCGAAAGCUAUUUAGGUAGCGCCUCGUGAAUUCAUCUCCGGGGGUAGAGCACUGUUUCGGCUAGGGGGCCAUCCCGGCUUACCAACCCGAUGCAAACUGCGAAUACCGGAGAAUGUUAUCACGGGAGACACACGGCGGGUGCUAACGUCCGUCGUGAAGAGGGAAACAACCCAGACCGCCAGCUAAGGUCCCAAAGUCAUGGUUAAGUGGGAAACGAUGUGGGAAGGCCCAGACAGCCAGGAUGUUGGCUUAGAAGCAGCCAUCAUUUAAAGAAAGCGUAAUAGCUCACUGGUCGAGUCGGCCUGCGCGGAAGAUGUAACGGGGCUAAACCAUGCACCGAAGCUGCGGCAGCGACGCUUAUGCGUUGUUGGGUAGGGGAGCGUUCUGUAAGCCUGCGAAGGUGGCCUGUGAGGGUUGCUGGAGGUAUCAGAAGUGCGAAUGCUGACAUAAGUAACGAUAAAGCGGGUGAAAAGCCCGCUCGCCGGAAGACCAAGGGUUCCUGUCCAACGUUAAUCGGGGCAGGGUGAGUCGACCCCUAAGGCGAGGCCGAAAGGCGUAGUCGAUGGGAAACGGGUUAAUAUUCCCGUACUUGGUGUUACUGCGAAGGGGGGACGGAGAAGGCUAUGUUGGCCGGGCGACGGUUGUCCCGGUUUAAGCGUGUAGGCUGACUUUCCAGGCAAAUCCGGAGAGUCAAGGCUGAGGCGUGACGACGAGGCACCACGGUGCUGAAGCAACAAAUGCCCUGCUUCCAGGAAAAGCCUCUAAGCAUCAGGUAACAUCAAAUCGUACCCCAAACCGACACAGGUGGUCAGGUAGAGAAUACCAAGGCGCUUGAGAGAACUCGGGUGAAGGAACUAGGCAAAAUGGUGCCGUAACUUCGGGAGAAGGCACGCUGACAUGUAGGUGAAGUGGUUUACCCAUGGAGCUGAAGUCAGUCGAAGAUACCAGCUGGCUGCAACUGUUUAUUAAAAACACAGCACUGUGCAAACACGAAAGUGGACGUAUACGGUGUGACGCCUGCCCGGUGCCGGAAGGUUAAUUGAUGGGGUCAGCGCAAGCGAAGCUCCUGAUCGAAGCCCCGGUAAACGGCGGCCGUAACUAUAACGGUCCUAAGGUAGCGAAAUUCCUUGUCGGGUAAGUUCCGACCUGCACGAAUGGCGUAAUGAUGGCCAGGCUGUCUCCACCCGAGACUCAGUGAAAUUGAACUCGCUGUGAAGAUGCAGUGUACCCGCGGCAAGACGGAAAGACCCCGUGAACCUUUACUAUAGCUUGACACUGAACAUUGAGCCUUGAUGUGUAGGAUAGGUGGGAGGCUUUGAAGCGUGGACGCCAGUCUGCGUGGAGCCAACCUUGAAAUACCACCCUUUAAUGUUUGAUGUUCUAACGUGGACCCGUGAUCCGGGUUGCGGACAGUGUCUGGUGGGUAGUUUGACUGGGGCGGUCUCCUCCUAAAGAGUAACGGAGGAGCACGAAGGUUGGCUAAUCCUGGUCGGACAUCAGGAGGUUAGUGCAAUGGCAUAAGCCAGCUUGACUGCGAGCGUGACGGCGCGAGCAGGUGCGAAAGCAGGUCAUAGUGAUCCGGUGGUUCUGAAUGGAAGGGCCAUCGCUCAACGGAUAAAAGGUACUCCGGGGAUAACAGGCUGAUACCGCCCAAGAGUUCAUAUCGACGGCGGUGUUUGGCACCUCGAUGUCGGCUCAUCACAUCCUGGGGCUGAAGUAGGUCCCAAGGGUAUGGCUGUUCGCCAUUUAAAGUGGUACGCGAGCUGGGUUUAGAACGUCGUGAGACAGUUCGGUCCCUAUCUGCCGUGGGCGCUGGAGAACUGAGGGGGGCUGCUCCUAGUACGAGAGGACCGGAGUGGACGCAUCACUGGUGUUCGGGUUGUCAUGCCAAUGGCACUGCCCGGUAGCUAAAUGCGGAAGAGAUAAGUGCUGAAAGCAUCUAAGCACGAAACUUGCCCCGAGAUGAGUUCUCCCUGAGACUUAGAGUCUCCUGAAGGAACGUUGAAGACGACGACGUUGAUAGGCCGGGUGUGUAAGCGCAGCGAUGCGUUGAGCUAACCGGUACUAAUGAACCGUGAGGCUUAACCUU